RNAcentral lists this ribosomal RNA (463 nucleotides) under uncultured bacterium. RNAcentral describes it as "partial 16S ribosomal RNA". It matches the Rfam family "Bacterial small subunit ribosomal RNA", at positions 28 to 507 of the family's 1533-position model. The record is from RNAcentral.
GACGAACGCUGGCGGCGUGCUUAACACAUGCAAGUCGAACGGAAAGGCCUUUUCGGAGGUACUCGAGUGGCGAACGGGUGAGUAACACGUGGGUGAUCUGCCCUGCACUCUGGGAUAAGCCUGGGAAACUGGGUCUAAUAUCGGAUAGGACCGCACUUUAGUGUGUGUGGUGGAAAGUUUUUUCGGCGUAGGAUGAGCCCGCUGCCUAUCAGCUUGUUGGUGGGGUAAUGGCCUACCAAGGCGGCGACGGGUAGCCGGACUGAGAGGUUGGUCGGCCACAUUGGGACUGAGAUACGGCCCAGACUCCUACGGGGGGCAGCAGUGGGGAAUAUUUCACAAUGGGCGCAAGCCUGGUGCAGCGACGCCGGGUGGGGGAUGACGGCCUUCGGGUUGUAAACUCCUUUCGCCAGGGACGAAGCGUUUUGUGACGGUACCUGGAGAAGAAGCACCGGCUAACUACGUG